GAAAGAUUUGGUCCUAACCUUAUUGUUACUUUUUGCU
Molecule: ribosomal RNA, 37 nt
Filed under: Pseudemys concinna (Suwannee river cooter)
Lineage: Eukaryota; Metazoa; Chordata; Testudines; Emydidae
Description: partial 12S ribosomal RNA
Source: RNAcentral